GCAGUUCCUGAGUACCAAGCAGAGGAGGGAGCUCUGUGAAAUGUGGUCACUUGACCAGAAGAAGAAGCGCACUGGGAGAAAGAAGAAAAGGCGCAAGAGUUGACGUCUAGGUUUGCGAGAAUAAAGAAGCAUGAGGGCGACCAGCACCGUCCGACGCUGCCUGACAUAUUCAUCCAUGAUCAAUUGAAAAAAAUUCUGGCCACCUCUUUAUCCUUAGAAGAGUUAUCACUGAAACCAAGCUCAUCCUUCAUGGUCCAGCUCAAAUGACACGUCCUUUAACCCAGGCUAUCCGGCUCCAAAGCUGGCACUAUUAGCAACAAAGUGAUGAUGAUGGUGAUGGUGAUGAUGGUGAUGAUGAUGGAAGAGAGGUUGAAGAUGAUGCUGAUAUGUGAGGACUGGCACAUGGUAACUGCUCAAUAAAUGCUUAGUAUUAUUAAAACGCUCACUGAUUUGUAAAGAUUUCUAGAGACAGAAGUUCUACAUCCAUCUUAGGUACUCUUUCAAGAAUUAAAUCACUUUUAUUCCCUUUCUUAUAUAUUAAACUCUUUCUUGCUAUUAUUGAAGCCUAUGUUCUCUUUCUCAGAUUUCUAGGAAAGAAGGGAAUAAAAACCUUCCUGAAAUAGUUAACUCUAUUUCAGAAUAUUCAGGAAGCUAUUAACCCC
Molecule: long non-coding RNA, 662 nt
Organism: Eptesicus fuscus (big brown bat)
Lineage: Eukaryota; Metazoa; Chordata; Mammalia; Chiroptera; Vespertilionidae
Exons: 3
Source: RefSeq, a predicted model, not a curated record